GACGAACGCUGGCGGCGUGCCUAAUACAUGCAAGUAGAACGCUGAAGGAGGAGCUUGCUUCUCUGGAUGAGUUGCGAACGGGUGAGUAACGCGUAGGUAACCUGCCUGGUAGCGGGGGAUAACUAUUGGAAACGAUAGCUAAUACCGCAUAAUAGUAGAUGUUGCAUGACAUUUGCUUAAAAGGUGCACUUGCAUCACUACCAGAUGGACCUGCGUUGUAUUAGCUAGUUGGUGAGGUAACGGCUCACCAAGGCAACGAUACAUAGCCGACCUGAGAGGGUGAUCGGCCACACUGGGACUGAGACACGGCCCAGACUCCUACGGGAGGCAGCAGUAGGGAAUCUUCGGCAAUGGACGGAAGUCUGACCGAGCAACGCCGCGUGAGUGAAGAAGGUUGUCGGAUCGUAAAGCUCUGUUGUAAGAGAAGAACGAGUGUGAGAGUGGAAAGUUCACAAUGUGACGGUAUCUGACCAGAAAGGGACGGCUAACUACGUG
This 495-nucleotide ribosomal RNA is filed under the name uncultured bacterium. RNAcentral's name for it is "partial 16S ribosomal RNA". It matches the Rfam family "Bacterial small subunit ribosomal RNA", at positions 28 to 507 of the family's 1533-position model. The record is from RNAcentral.